UGUCCUACGGGAGGCAGCAGUGGGGAAUAUUGCACAAUGGGGGAAACCCUGAUGCAGCAACGCCGCGUGAGUGAAGAAGUAUUUCGGUAUGUAAAGCUCUAUCAGCAGGGAAGAAGAUGACGGUACCUGAGUAAGAAGCCCCGGCUAACUACGUGCCAGCAGCCGCGGUAAUACGUAGGGGGCAAGCGUUAUCCGGAUUUACUGGGUGUAAAGGGAGCGUAGACGGGGCAGCAAGUCUGAUGUGAAAGGUCGGGGCCCAACCCCGGGCCUGCAUUGGAAACUGUUGAACU
RNAcentral lists this ribosomal RNA (290 nucleotides) under uncultured bacterium. RNAcentral's name for it is "partial 16S ribosomal RNA". It matches the Rfam family "Bacterial small subunit ribosomal RNA", at positions 335 to 642 of the family's 1533-position model. The record is from RNAcentral.